Molecule: long non-coding RNA, 467 nt
Organism: Gossypium arboreum
Lineage: Eukaryota; Viridiplantae; Streptophyta; Magnoliopsida; Malvales; Malvaceae
Exons: 2
Source: RefSeq, a predicted model, not a curated record
AAAGAAUUAAAUGGAUGAAAUAUGAAGUUUUAUUAAAAGAAAAAGGGGUGAAAAGAACAAAGUUUUGUCCAUCUUUGUUCAUCAUAGCUGAAAGUUAGAGAAGAGAAAGGAGAGGAGAAAGCUCUUGAGUAUUCAGUCAUUAGGAGGAGGAAAAUUGAAGGAAAUCCCCAACCAUAGUGGGCUUGGAGCUGUGAGGGAAUUCGGAGUGGCCACCCAUUCUGAAAGUUUGAUUUUCUUCUGGUGAACUGGACACCCUUUUAUUUACGUUUGAAGUUUUGGGUUUUUAAAUGUAAUAAGGCCGCUUAAUUAUUUUUAAUGGUUUUAAUAUGUAUUACUAAGAUAGGUAAUACUUAUUUUAACUAUUGAAAUUGGAUAGCUUUAGGGCGCGUUUUCAAAAACAACAGUUGAUUUCAAAAUAACACGACAACAAGCAAAGCUUCCGCAAUGAAAGUAUUUUCCAAAAUUAA